This 777-nucleotide small RNA is filed under the name Rattus norvegicus (Norway rat). Its description in RNAcentral is "uncharacterized LOC108353232". The record is from RNAcentral. Lineage: Eukaryota; Metazoa; Chordata; Mammalia; Rodentia; Muridae.
AUGGGAUAUGGCACCCUACAUCACAAAGCACCCGUGCCGUUGUCAUGACAGUGGGUCUCAACCCCAGUCCUCUCCAACUGAAACUUGUCCAGCCUUUGCUCCUUCAUAGAGAAUGUCAUUAACACCAUGACCCACAGCGGAGGAAGGCAUUUCCUUGAUUAGCUCUAUUCUCCCAGCAAGUCCGUCUCACCUCUGCCCUGGUAGUGGAAAAACAAACAUGUUACCUAGCACAGUGAGCUCACACCUUGAAUCCCAGCACUUGAGGAGGCAGAGGCAAGCGCAUCUCUGUGAGUUCGAGGCCAGCCAGGACUACAAAGUGAGACCCUCUCAAAGCAAAACACCAACAGAGAUGCCCCUGUCUGUUGUGAGCAAAGAAACCCAGAGUGGAGCUGACUGAUGGAAGCAUGUCCUACUACGGCGAGUCUUCGGUGGUGUGUGAGCCACCAGUGUCCUUAUUGUCUAAAGGAUGCCAAGCACAGGAGAAAGGAAUCGGAUGUGUUUUCAAAAGCCUAGGAGAGUCCCUGCCUGCAGCAGAUGCUCACAAGCCCUGAGAUGGAAACGGUCUAGCCUGUGCUUAAUGUCCAGAAAUUCAUACAGCAGGGACCUCUGAGCAAGAUCAAGGUGUGUGUCUCUUCCACACUCCCCAGAGUACCUGACAUGUUAGGCCCUUGGGCUCAAAAUAAACUCUCAUCUGUAUAAAAUGUUGGGAGGACCUGGGGCUUGAAUCUAAACACCUUUUUUUUGAUUUUUUUUUUUUUUUGGUUCUUUUUUUCGGAG